Molecule: small nucleolar RNA, 91 nt
Organism: Myotis lucifugus (little brown bat)
Lineage: Eukaryota; Metazoa; Chordata; Mammalia; Chiroptera; Vespertilionidae
Product: small nucleolar SNORD12/SNORD106
Source: Ensembl
ACCUAUGAACCAAGAAGUCACGGUUCACCCCAUCAGACCGACCCUGUUGAUCUAACUAAACUAUUUGCCAGUUUUUGUCUGAUGCAUUGGA